GGGGCGUAGCUACCCGGAGGCACGACAGCACGUGCAUCCACGUCGUUUUCACACAAAAAAAAAAAAAAAAAAAAUAACAGAAGAGAGAGAUGAGUUGGUCAAUCGGAAUCAGACAGCGUGAUGCAUGUAUUAUCAUGAUUAUGAUAUUUGUUUAACGUUUGGAGACUGUUAGUGUUGGUGUCUUUUCCGUCUAUCCUGGAUAUUAGUUUGACAACCUAGAUACAAGUGUUGAUGAAGCUGUUCAUGCAGAAAAAGAUCGUAGCUCCGCAGUUGCGUGCACAUUGAUUCGGCAUGCAAAAAAGAAAUGGCAAAAUAUUUUUUUUUUAUAAUAUUGAAUGCUAAAGGAAACACCUAUCUUGUCAUUUUUUUAAUUGAUGAAAUGUCAUUAAAUAACGACAUUUG
Molecule: long non-coding RNA, 402 nt
Filed under: Mytilus galloprovincialis (Mediterranean mussel)
Lineage: Eukaryota; Metazoa; Mollusca; Bivalvia; Mytilida; Mytilidae
Source: RNAcentral